Molecule: long non-coding RNA, 7327 nt
Filed under: Malus domestica (apple)
Lineage: Eukaryota; Viridiplantae; Streptophyta; Magnoliopsida; Rosales; Rosaceae
Description: long non-coding RNA (MDOM_LNC007251)
Source: RNAcentral
UCGCCGUUGAGCGCCAUGGCUUCAGCGGUCAGGUUUUCCGUCGUUUCUAGAUUUCGAUUCGUCUGUUAGGGCUCGGUUUAUUCCUGCGAUAUUGAUGAUUUAUUUCGAUGGAUUACGUUUGUUAUCGGUGUGUGAUUUUAGGGUUUGGAUUCUUGGCGAUGGGGAUUUUUCUUGCCAGGUUAAAAUUUUUGAUCUAACGAUGCUUGAAGGUUGAAUUUCCUUAUAUAUUUCAAUUUUUUGGAUUGCGUUUCCGGUUUUGAUUCAUCUGUUUGGGAUUGAUUGAUUGAUUCUGCGUUCGUAGUGCUGUCGGUGUGUUUCUAGGGUUUGGUGGCUGGAUUCGUGGCAAUCGCCUCAUUCUAACAGGUUUAAUAAAGUUUGGAUCUGUCGGUGUGUUUCUAGGGUUUGUUGGCUGGAUUCGUGGCAAUCGCCUCUUUCUAACAGGUUUAAUAACGUUUGGAUCUGAUUAUUUUUCAAAGGUUGCGAAUUCCCAAUCGAAUUUUGUGGAUAUUGAUGGAUUUUGAUAUCUCAUCUUAAAUCUGUUGAUCUGCUUUUGGGUUUUUUGAUUUGGUGUGGUGGUUCCAGGGCGUUUUGGAUUCAAUAACUGGUUCAGCUAGGAGUUCGAUUUGAAGAUUCUCUAUUUACCCUGGGUUUUUGCGUAUCUUCUGUUACCUCAUUGAAGUUUAUGAAAUGAUGAUUUAGUUUAGAAAUUUUGAUCCCCAUCCCAUAUAUGUCCGAAUAAAUGGAGCUUUGUUGUUAACUUUCAGGCAUGGAUUGCGGGUUUCAGUCGCAUAGAUGUCUUAAGACUCGAGCGGUUAGGUAUUGUAUUUGGCUAAUGUUUUGAUGGCGUUCUUGUGUGAUUGCUCUGUGGUUGGGUUUGUACUCCUGUUUUCGCGAUAAAAAUCUUUUGAUGCCUCCCUUUCUUCUUAAAUGUUUAUUUUCCUCCUCUCUCAUUCAAAAAUCGUUCUAAAUUUUAUUACCUUCUAUUGGCAGAUACUAAAUUGGGAAUUUGUACGGUAUUAUCAAGCUGGCAUUAUUUUACACGUAAAUUGGGAAUAUGUUCAAAUCGGGUUUAAUGUCCUCAAUAUUGAUUAUUUCCAUUCAAUUCUGCAUCUUUUUGCAGUCGCUCGUUUUCAGAUCUUUUUAUUUCUUUCCUCAGAUUUAUUUUCCUAUCUCAGAAAAUGUUUGGCCUACGUUUAUUUUUGUUUAGCAGCUACUUUUUAAUUUUUAUUCCUAAAUAAAUAUUGGCUAUUAUGUAUUUUAAGGCUUCUUGCCCACAGCUUUUGUUUUAUAGUUCUAAGAGUCUUGAAGGUUUCGUUUUUUGUUUAGCAGCGUCUUAUGCAAAUGCGUUCUAAUUCUUCUUAGCCAGUCACAGCUAAGAUUUUUUGUAGAUGAAAAAUGUUUCAGGGAGCUGGAGGUGUCUCGGUUUGUUUAUGCACCCUGCUUGGCUUCUUGUUUCUGUUAAAUGUCCAUUACAUUCGAUUGCUGUGUUGUCCUGCCCUUGAUGUUUAGUGCAGAUUCAUCAACAGGGUUCUAACUUCACUCUAUGAGUGGGCACUUAAAGAAGGGGUUUCUCUUGGCUUUUGAUUCUUUUUUUUUUUGUAUUUUAGAGCGUAUAGGUUUUGUGCCACAAUCUGAGCAGUUCUUUUGUCUGCAGACACAUUUUAUUCUUGUUGAGGGAGAGCUGGGUGUUUCAAAGAUGGGGUUUGAGUGGUUCUGAGUGUGAUUUAACUUUUAUGAAUUUGAGCCAUUGUUAUAUCAAUGAUCUUAUUAAAAAAAUUUCUGGUUACAGUUUCGCUGGGUCGAGGAAAAUGGCUGCCUGAUUUAAAGGGGGUUUGUUUCUUUGCUUAUGUUUUAACUGUAUUCUUAGGGCUUAUGAGAUCUAGCACCAUUAUUUGUGGAAUAUUCUUUGCAGAUGAUGUAUCUUGUUUGUUUAUGAAGUCUAAUCUUGUUGGAGCAGAACAUGCUGGUUUGGAGGGGGUCUAAGUGCUUUCUUGCUUUUUAAUUGAAUACUCAUUCAUUUGAUUUGUUUGGUCCUACGUUUGUGUCUACCCAUUCUUGUUUGUAUGCAGAUGUGGGUCGAAGUGCACCUUGUUAGGAUUCUACAGUUUGGGAGCUUUGUGUGGCUUGGUUUGUUUAUUCACCCUGAUUGGCUUCUUGUUUCUGUUAAAUGACCAUUACAUUCGAUUUCUGUGCUGUCCUUCCUUUGGUGUCUUAUGCAGAUGCAUAGCUGAGUCCUAACUCUAUCCAUCCCUAGUAAAGAGUGUCGGAGUUUCACUUCUUUAAAACAUGAGCGGGCAGAAUUUUAAUAGGGGGUUCCUCUUGGCUUAUGAUUCUAUUUUUGUAUUUUAGAGCGAAUGGAUCUUGCCAUAAUCUGAGCAAUGUUUCCUUAUGCAGACACAUUCUAAUCUUUUUGGAAGGAGAACAUGCUGCUUCAAAGCGGGGGUUUGAGUGGUUUUCGAUUGAUUUAAUUUUAUGUGAUUUUGAAACAUUAUUUGAACAAUGAUCUUUUCAAAUAUUUUCUGGCUAUGCAGUUUCCCUCAGUUGAAGGAAAAUGGCUGCCUGAUUUAAAAGGGGGGUUUCUUGGCAUAUGUUUCAAUCUCUUGGCUUAUGAUUCUAUUUUUGUAUUUUAGAGCGUAUGGAUCUUGCCAUAAUCUGUGCAAUGCUUCCUUAUGCAGACACAUUCUAAUCUUUUUGGAAGGAGAACAUGCUGCUUCAAAGCGGGGGUUUGAGUGGUUUUCGAUUGAUUUAAUUUUAUGUGAUUUUGAAACAUUAUUUGAACAAUGAUCUUUUCAAAUAUUUUCUGGCUAUGCAGUUUCCCUCAGCUGAAGGAAAAUGGCUGCCUGAUUUAAAAGGGGGUUUCUUGGCAUAUAUUUCAAUCUCUUGGCUUAUGAUUCUAUUUUUGUAUUUUAGAGCGUAUGGAUCUUGCCAUAAUCUGUGCAAUGCUUCCUUAUGCAGACACAUUCUAAUCUUUUUGGAAGGAGAACAUGCUGCUUCAAAGCGGGGGUUUGAGUGGUUUUUCGAUUGAUUUAAUUUUAUGUGAUUUUGAAACAUUAUUUGAACAAUGAUCUUUUCAAAUAUUUUCUGGCUAUGCAGUUUCCCUCAGUUGAAGGAAAAUGGCUGCCUGAUUUAAAAGGGGGUUUCUUGGCAUAUGUUUCAAUCUCUUGGCUUAUGAUUCUAUUUUUGUAUUUUAGAGCGUAUGGAUCUUGCCAUAAUCUGAGCAAUGCUUCCUUAUGCAGACACAUUCUAAUCUUUUUGGAAGGAGAACAUGCUGCUUCAAAGCGGGGGUUUGAGUGGUUUUCGAUUGAUUUAAUUUUAUGUGAUUUUGAAACAUUAUUUGAACAAUGAUCUUUUCAAAUAUUUUCUGGCUAUGCAGUUUCCCUCGGUUGAAGGAAAAUGGCUGCCUGAUAUAAAAGGGGGUUUCUUGGCAUAUGUUUCAAUCUCUGUUUUCUUAAUGGCUUAUGAGAUCUAGCACCAUUAUUUGUGGAAUUUUCGUUGCAGAUGAUAUACUUUAUGGAGUUGGCUUGUUGAAGCAGAACGUGUCGUUUUUAAGAGGGGUUUUAAGUGCUUCCUUGUUUUCGGUUGAAUUUUCUGUUCUUUGGCUUUUUCUGGUUCAUCGAUUUGUGUCUACCUAUUCUUGUUUGUAUGCAGAUGUGUUGAAGUGCAGCUAAUUAGGAGUUGAACAGUUUAAAGGAGAGCGGGUGUCCUUCUCUUAGGGGGUUCCAUUGUCUUCUGAUUAUAUUCUAUUUUCUUAGAGCGUAUAUUUUUGUGCCUUUAUUUGAGCAGAGCACUGUUUUUAUAUGCAGACAUAUUCCUACGCCUGUCUGUGUACGAGGUCCAUGCUUGUUAGCUCUGUUGUAGAACGGGCUGUUUCUAAGAUGGGGUUUGAGUGAUUAUUGGAUUAUGUAAUUUCUUAUUUUUGGUGGGUUAAUGUUACCUCCUACCAUUAUUUGAUCAGUGAUCGAUGUUUCAUAUCAGAUGCUACCUGAAUUUUUGGUCAUGAAAUCUCACUCAGUCGUUGAGCAAUUUGCUAUCUGCUUCGAAAGGGGGUUUGAUGUUUCUUGGUUUAUGCUUACCUUUCUUAUAUAUUGGAGGUUGUGAGACAUGGACCAUUAUUUGCGCAAUUUUCUGUGCAGAUGCGUUUUAGAGUUCGUAUGCGUAUGGAGUUUAACUUUGUUCAAGGAGAAAGGGGUGCUUUGAAGGGGGUUUCUUUUGAAUCUGUUUUAAAUUUCUAUAUGUCGACUCUGUAUGUGAUUCUACGCCUUGAUUUGAGCAACGCUUCUGUAUGCAGACAUUCUCUCUCUUGUCCAUAUAUGGCAACCACCGUGGAAGGAGCAGUUUGAAUAUGGGGGUUUGAGUAGUUCUUGGGUUAUUAUUUUGUUUCUUAUUCCUUUGGGUUGACGGGAGCUGAAAUAAUCAUUGCAACAAUGUUUCAUGCAGUUACAUUCCAGAUAGUCUAUUUAAGAAGUCUGUUGGAUGGAUUGGCCGACUGCUUUUGAAAAGGGGGUUUGAUGCUUCUAAGCCUGUACUCUUGUAUUCAUUAGACUAAAUACUAUAUGCGAUCGUGGACUAUCAUUUGAGCAGUUAUUUGUGCAGAUGCCUUUGUCUUUUGUCUGUUUGUGUAGUCUUUACUUCAUUAUCGGAGAGCAGCCUGAGCAGGCAGCUUUUAAGAGGGGGUUUUUGGGCUUACGUUUAUCUUUUUACUUUCUAUUUUAUUUUUUUAUUAGUACGUAGCUUGUACCUUCCUUUGAGCAAUGGUUUUUGUAUGCAGACACGUCCGGACUCUAUUUUUGUGAAAGGAGAGCGGUGGAUUUUAACAGGGGUUACCUUAUGUUUUUGUUUUAAUUGUCCGUUAUUAGACUUUGUAUGCAAUCUUGCACCAUGAGUGGGCAUUGUUUCUGUAUGCAGACAUAUUGGCGAGCAUUGGAAGGAGGGCAGUCUGAAUGGGGGUUUGAGUUCGGUUUUGGAUGUUAUUUCUUACUCGUUUGGGUUUGAUGAGAUCUGGAACUAUUAUUGGAACAAUGUUUUAUGCAGGACCUAUUCCAAAAUAGUCUGUUUAUGAAGUCUCAGAGUGUUGGAUGGCAACGGGCUGCCUGUUUUAAAGAGGGGUUUAAUAUAUCUUAGCCUAUGUCUUGAUCUCCUAUUUCUUGUGUUUUGCGAUAUUGUUUGAGCAAUUAAUUAUGCAGACGCCUUUUUGUGUCGGAUGGAGUCCAACUCAUUAUAGGAGAGCAGCCAACUUUUGAGAGGGGGUCUUUGGCUUACGGUUUUUUUUUUUUUUUUCUUUUGUUGGCGUGAUAGAGAUAUUUUAUAGUUAUUUGAGCAAUGUUUUUUGUAUGCAGACACGUCCCCACAUUAGGUUGUAUGUGGUGUGCAAGUUUAGUGGGGGAGAAUGGGCUGCUUAUGAAAGGGGGUUUCCAUAGUUUGCCUUAUGAAUUUAUUUCAAGUUUUUUGUGAGUUUUGAGAUGCUGAACCAUUAUACUCACUGUUUAUUUGCAGAUGUGUCCCAAACUUUUCUUUUGCCUCACUCAGUUGAGUGAAAAAUGGGCUGCCUGCUUUUAGGACGAAGUCAGAUACCUUUUCCCUUUUUUGUUUGUUUGUAAUUUAUUUGCUCUUAUGAGACCUCUUAUGAUUUUCAUUUUUUCUUUCUUUGUUUAUAUAUAUAUUUGCUGUAUUAUUUGUGCGUACUUUUUGUAUGCAGAGACAUCCCAGCUUCUGUCUGUGCUCAGAAGGGGUGCGAAAUGCUUUUAGAAGGGGUUUGAGUUCUUGUCUUGUUACUUGAUUUCAUAUUGGUUUGGAUACCAUUGUCUUCCACGCUAAUGCAUUUGCAGACGUUUUUAGCUUGGAGUCUUUCAUGGGGGUCUACUUUAUGGAAUUGUCCUCACAUUCGGUUUGCUAUUCAUCUGUCAGCCGUCACUUUGUUCAUUAAAAGAUUUGUCUUCAUUGGGUUUACACUUAAUUGGCUUCAUUGUCUUUUGGCACUGGUUUACGCAUCUCAGCUUGGUUUAUGUUCAAAUGUUUCAGCUUGUGUGGAUGGUGGUACUCCCUAUUGUUUGACAAACGCUGAAUUUUGUUUGGUGACUUAAAAUUCUUCAUUCGGCAUUUUUUAUUUCAGCAACGCAUUAUUCAGUUAUCUUUAAACAUAGUUACAGAGGAUAGCGGUCUGCAGCUGAUUUUAAGUUGGAUGAUGGUUCUUUUCUUAUAUUUAGUUUUCCUGUAAAGCGCCGUAAGGUCUUUUUGGUUGGUGCUUCGCUUCAUUGAAUCCUAGAGGAGUAUGAGCUGCUUCUAAGAUGGAGUUUGUUACUUGAUGGCUUUUAUUUUCAAGAUGGCACUCUACGUGGACCGAAGUCAUGGAUUGUGGUUUUGUUUCAACAACUAUGUUUGUGUCGUGCUGUGGUCCUGUGCAGAAUAAUGUCAAGUCUCAUGGGGUUGGGCUGGAUUCAAUAUCUUCUACUUUCCUUGGCCAGAGAUUUCUUCCGGGAGUUGCUUUUAAUUUAAGAGGUUCAUGCUUUCUGUCCUAUCAAGUUAUCGUUUAAUUUGCCAUCUGUAAGAGUUCAUAAUAUCCAGGCAGCUAUGUAUGUCGAUGCAUUCCGCAAGGCAUUUGUUAGAAACUUAGAGGGGGUGUUUAACGUGCUUACUAUCUGGCAGCAGUGUUUGGGAUAUAUGAUUAUGCAUUGAGGAGCUUAUUUCUUUUUCUUGAAUGAGUAUCAUGUUGAAGUUGAUGGAACUGACCGUAGAAGAUGUUGUGGAGUCGGGUUUUAUCCUAUUCAGACUUUAUUAUUUCCCUGUUUCUCAUCGAUCAUCUCUUUAGUUUCCCUUAUGUACUUUGUCAUUAGUGUUGGUAUUACUUAUGCAGAUGUAACUUUGGUGAGGUCUUGCUUGAUUUCAAGUUUUGAUGAUGGAAAUAAAAGUGGUAUAAAUGUCCUUUUUCCCUUUUGUAUUGAAGUUUCGCAAUCUCGUAUCAUGAAUUUAUUAUCACUGUCCAAUUCAGUUUUUAUUUUUUUAUUUUUAUUUUUUAAAUCUGAUCCUCGUUUGGCUUUAGAUCCGGUUUAUUGUCGACGUGGAAGCUGUGCAGGUUGCAUUUUAAAAUUUAAUGCAACUGUCGUGAUUUUAUAUGUGCAAUGUCAUAGUGUUGCUGGAUUAAUAUUUUUAACUUAUUGAAAAUGGUGAAUAUUCUUAAUUGUGGGCUAAUUUGGAAAGCAGCUAAAUGAAGGGCAUCAAUUAUUUUAUAGUGUGGUGAUCUGUAUCUGCAAUUCGAAUAUAUUGCUUGGAAUAUAAUGCUAAAACAAGGGCAAAGCAUGUUAGCUGAAUGAAGGAAUUCUUAUAUCGAAUU